GAGAGCAUCAGAUCACAUUACGGAUGGUUGUGAGCCACCAUGUGGUUUCUGGGAAUUUAACUCAGGACCUCUGGAAGAGCAGCCAGUACUCUUAACUGCUGAGCCAUUUCUCCAGCCCCACUGUCUAUAUAUUUUUGUGGAGGGAAAAAACACCAACAAGAGGUUUAAUUCAUUACCAGCUGACAGCAUGCAAGCAGACACUGUUCUGGAAAAGCAGCUGAGAGUCCUACAUCCGGCUCCGCAGGCAGCAAGAGGAGAGCAAGAAACCAGUGGACCUGACUUGGGCUUUUGAGAACCUCAAAGGCCACCUUCAGUGGCACACUUCUUCUAACAAGGCCAAACUUCCUAAUCCUUUCAGAAAGUGCCACUCCCUGUUGUGACCAAACAUUCAAAUCUAUGAGCCUAUGGAGGCCAUUCUUAUUCAAACCACAAAUGGAUAACGACAAUGUUGUAUGCAGCUAUAACCAGUCAUAAAACUAACUCUUUGGUGGAGGUUGGUGACCAGUGACAGGAAGUGGAAAAGAAGGGUGAGUAGAAUCAACGUGUACUACCUACAUGUAUGAUGAUGCCACAAAGAAAUCUGUUAUUGUGUGUGUUACUUUAAAAAGCAAAGUACACUUUCUGAGUACAAGAAAAUGGAUUUGGGAUGAAUUAAUAUAUGAAAUCAAAGCCAAGUCUUCUUUCCUGGUUAUGUUUUAGUUGUUGGUGGUGAAAACUUCCUUUCUAUAAUUAUGAGCUUUUGCAACCAAGUAUAUAGACAUUUUAUUUACUGAGAUAGAGAAAGACAUGGCUAUUUAAGGGGAGGAAAAUGAUUUGCUAUGAACAUCAUAAUAACAUUUUAUAUUAAAGUCUCACCUGAUAUAUUUGUCUGGAUGAUAUGUUAAAAUGAUGUUUGGUAGUUUUCACAGACUGCAUCUGGUGCUACUUUAAUUGAAUUUAUUAUGAAGUAUUUUAUUCUUUUUGUGUUACUCUAAAUGAAUUUAAAAAUUUUGCUUCUGCGUUGUCCCUUGUAAAGUACAUAAAAAUACUAUUGGUUUUCA
Molecule: long non-coding RNA, 1040 nt
Organism: Mesocricetus auratus (golden hamster)
Lineage: Eukaryota; Metazoa; Chordata; Mammalia; Rodentia; Cricetidae
Exons: 2
Source: RefSeq, a predicted model, not a curated record